UGUGUGGAUAUUUUUUUUCUUCCCUGAAUUGCUUAAGAUGAAGAAACUGAGGACAUUUGAUGCCCAUGAAAACUCUUUACCGAGCCACUUAGUUUGAGCAAGACACAAUGGGUUCUCUUUUCUUCUGCUUGUCUACCAUACUUCUCCCAUAGCCCUCCCCUCUUUGUCACCAGUUCCCCAAAUACCAAGUCUUGCAAUUGGUCAAAAGCCUGGUCUCUGUUUCUUGAGGAGGACCUGAGGUCUGCCGUUAGGACUCUCCAGCAAGAAGAAAGAGAAGUUCUGGGGAAGAUGAGAAUCCUUUUCAGGUCACAGAAUCUGGAAUCCCAGU
Molecule: long non-coding RNA, 328 nt
Filed under: Monodelphis domestica (gray short-tailed opossum)
Lineage: Eukaryota; Metazoa; Chordata; Mammalia; Didelphimorphia; Didelphidae
Description: lncRNA (ENSMODG00000036899.1)
Source: RNAcentral